RNAcentral lists this ribosomal RNA (492 nucleotides) under uncultured bacterium. RNAcentral describes it as "partial 16S ribosomal RNA". It matches the Rfam family "Bacterial small subunit ribosomal RNA", at positions 38 to 507 of the family's 1533-position model. The record is from RNAcentral.
GGGGGGGGGGGGGGGGGGGUGGGGGACGGGGGGGUGGUGGGGAGGGACAGUGCGGUCGGGGUGUGAGGGGGGGGGCGGGGCGGACGGGUGAGGGAGGGGUUGGCAUCGGCCACUUCGUGGGUGAUAACGUGGGGAAACUUUGGGUAAUACGGCAUACGAUCGACGGCUGAAAGCCGGGGUACUGAGGACAUUGGGCUAUUGAAGAAGCAGAUGGAGGAUUAGCUAGUUGGCGGGGUAAGGGCCCACCAGGGCUACGAUCCGUAGCUGGUCUGCGAGGCUGAUCAGCCACACUGGAACUGAGACACGGUCCAGACUCCUACGGGAGGCAGCAGUGGGGAAUAUUGGACAAUGGGCGCGAGCCUGAUCCAGCCAUACCGCGUGGGUGAAGAAGGCCUUCGGGUUGUAAAGCCCUUUUGUUGGGAAAGAAAAGCAGCAGGUUAAUACCCCGCUGUUCUGACGGUACCCAAAGAAUAAGCACCGGCUAACUUCGUG